UUUCCGUCCAAAUUUAUGCAUUAAAAAAAGAAGACAAUCAAAAGAAAAUCUUCCACUGCCGCACUCUGACUUCUUUUUUCAUGUAAUUUUCAUCGCGUAAGAUGAGUUACAAAAUCACGAAAGACAAUCACGCAAUAUUAUAACGUUCCAAUAAUAAACGAACGCAAUGGAUGUCCCUCUGUAUGUCACGUUGCGACCAAAGAAGAGAAAGAGUUAAAAAAAAUCGAGAGACGCCUUCCUAUCACAUUCCCGCGACGUGUCGCAUGCAGGCAAAAAAAAGAAGAGGAUUUAGAGACUUAUUCCUUUAAAAAAAAGCGCCCUUUCAUCCGCCGAGCAGUUAGUGUGUCACUAUUCAGCGGGCCUGUGCCCACGUGCGCACACAAACAGGAGCUCAGUGAAGAAGAGGAGGAGGAGGAUGAAGAUGUUCACAUGGCAAGCCGAGCUGCAAGGUAAAACAAUUUGGUCUCAUCAUUUGCAGUUGCAAACGUGGUAUUUUUCGCUUUUAAAGUAUGCGCCGUUUUUUUGCUUGAGGAAUUGCAAAAACACUGGCGCUCUGCGUGUGGUUUGCGUUGCUUUAUGCUAAGUGGAACACACACACACACACACACACGCACAUAUACGUAAGAUUUUUGAAUAUUGAUGAUUGGAAAGCUUUGAACACACGUCGGAGGCUUUUCAAGGUCUCGGCGUGCAAGCAAGCACCAAAGUGUCAUCAAGUGCUCGCUAUCCCCGGAGAUUUUUGCAGCCGAAGAACCCCCCCCCCAAAAAAGUUGGAUUUCUUUCAGCCGUCAACGCUCACCUGAGCAGAGGGAUUUGUUAUUUCUUCUCGGGGACGCAGCGGCAGCACAGGAGUUCGCCGACAAACAAACGGAUGCAAUUAAAUUCACUGUCAUCUCUCAUCAUCAUGGAGGAGGCAAGAAGGGAGGAAUAGGAGGGGGGGGGGGGGCACACAAGGCCAAGUCAAGGUUGACUCAAGAAGAAGAGGUCCACUCGCAAAGACAGAAAGUGAACUCUCACUUGACAGUCUUCCUCAAUGCAUGAAUUGAGGUGUGACAGGAUGAACCCAAUCCCUGUACAAGACAACAAGUAAUAUCUCUUUGAUUCACAGUAUGCAGAUACUUCAACAUGUUUGGACAUUUGGGUGACAUUUAAAUUUCAUUGUGAUAAAAUGUUGUUCCAAGACACAAACUUUCAUUGAACAUGGGCUAAAUUCCACUCAAAUACAGCACUAGAUUACUGGUAUUUAGAUUUUAAUGUUUUAUAUUUUAUGUUUGAUCUUUAUGAUAUAGGGCAUAUCGAUAUUUGCUUUAUUAAAGUGCUAUGUGAAUAAAUAAAGUGAGUAUAUAAUUAGUCAAUCAAUAAUGAGUCAAGUUGAGUUUUUUCAUAGAACACUCAAAAAUCGAUUCGCUAGCGGAGCAUAUACUUCAUAUUCAAUGAAUAGGAUGAAUAA
Molecule: long non-coding RNA, 1450 nt
Organism: Hippocampus zosterae (dwarf seahorse)
Lineage: Eukaryota; Metazoa; Chordata; Actinopteri; Syngnathiformes; Syngnathidae
Exons: 2
Source: RefSeq, a predicted model, not a curated record